Molecule: ribosomal RNA, 253 nt
Filed under: uncultured Symbiobacterium sp.
Lineage: Bacteria; Bacillati; Bacillota; Clostridia; Eubacteriales; Symbiobacteriaceae
Description: partial 16S ribosomal RNA
Rfam family: Bacterial small subunit ribosomal RNA
Source: RNAcentral
UACGUAGGGGGCGAGCGUUGUCCGGAAUUACUGGGCGUAAAGGGCGUGUAGGCGGCCUGUUAAGUCAGGGGUGAAACUCCGGGGCUCAACCCCGGGCGUGCCUCUGAAACUGAUGGGCUUGAGUGCUCUAGAGGGCAGUGGAAUUCCCGGUGUAGCAGUGAAAUGCGUAGAGAUCGGGAGGAACACCAGUGGCGAAGGCGGCUGCCUGGGGAGUAACUGACGCUGAGGCGCGAAAGCUAGGGGAGCAAACAGG